GGUCCUGUAUUUUGUACUUUGUGUGUCUGAUCUGCAUCACCACUGUACCCCUCACUGUUAUCUGUCCUGUUUAUCCUCCUGUCUUAGGAGGUGUGUCAUUAGAGAGCUGCUUUACCUGCCCUGCAGGUCACUUCUGCUCCACUGAGGGUCUGGCCAGCCCCAGUGGUCCCUGUGCUGCUGGUUUCUAUUGCCCCUUUGACUUCUCUUCGACCACUCCUUAUGCCUUCCUCUGUCCCAAGGUAAGGUUCUGUUUCUCUCUGUACUCCCUCUUCCAGUGAAUUGCCUUCCCCGUCCUUCCCUUUUCUAUUGUUUUUAUUGUUUUCCUCACAGUAUCUCUCCUAGAGGCACUUGUGCCAAGCUGAUUAUUAUUUAUGUCCUGGUGCAUAGAGUGCCACCCCUCAGUUGCGCCUUUGUCACUUAAAUUCCCUUGUAGGGCCACUACUGUCCAGAAGGCUCUGCCCUGGCCCUGCCUUGUCCCACAGGAGAGUACCAGCCGAACCCAGGCUCAGAUAGCUGCAUCCCAUGUCGACCUGGAUUCUACUGCGAGGAGGCCAUAGGGGGAGAUCCAUGGACCUGCCCACCACACUCAUUCUGCCCUGCAGGUCCUCUAAAAGGAUGGUUUCAAAUACAGAGGAUGGCAACUUUAAUUUUAUCUAUGUAUUACAUAAUUCAGCCUCAGAAAGAAUGCAAAAUAGACCAAAAAUGUGCUCCCAGUUUUGUGUUUCACUUAAAAAAACACUUUCCUUUGUGGUAAUCAUUGUGUAAUAAAUCAUGCUGUCAGUCUUUGUUUUAAUGUAAUGCAUUUUUUUACAGGCACCAUGGUGCCUCAGCCCUGCCCUAAUGGGACAUACACUCAUUCAAACCAAGGAGGCCUACAAGAAGAGAGAGAGUGUUUACCCUGCCCCCCAGGGAAGUUCUGCAGGACCGGUAGGAUCCAGGGUGUGUGUGCUGCAGGCUAUCUUUGUAUUUCUGGGAGUGCAGAUUUCACCCCCCAGGGAGCCAUAUUGAACCUGACCCAGUGCCAGUGGGGCAUGCAGUGUGCUGGACCAUGUCCUCCAGGUAUUUACACAGAUUUUCAUACAUUAUUCUGAAAUUAUUUUACGUGAGGGAUCAGAGGGUUCAUUUUUUCUUUAAACUAUUUAGAAUUCAUUGUUUGUAUUCUUUACUCCAGGUUUUUACUGUCCAAUGGGCACAGAGGAGGCAGAAUUGUGUCCUGCAAAUACUUUCAGAAGUUCCCCAGGAGGUGCCAGUGUACAGGACUGCUUACCCUGCCCACCUCAGCACUGGUGUAAACCUGGUACGGGCUAAGUGUGUUUAAGAGCUACUGUAAUCGGGUUUUUACAAGAUAAAAGUGCAGCAUAAAAUACACGAUUUAGCUGUGAAGACUCAAAGCAGGAACAACAUUGUAUAGUUUGAGCUCUGACAGAAAAUAUUUAGUGUUUUUAUGGGCCUAUUGAUAAAUAAGUAGAUACCGGCAGGAUCUAGUUAUUGGAUAACAGAUAAAACCUGAAGCUGAGAAUUAGAAACAUGCAUUAAGAAUAAAGACUAAUCCCGGGCUCGUGCAGCGUUAACAGACCAGAAAUGUCGCCUGUGCAAGUGCUUGAUGAGCCUUAUAUCGUUUGUUUGCAGGAGAGCCAGUCCUUCGCCUGUGUCCUGCCGGUCAUUACUGUGACGGUCUGCGUGGCAGUGACUUCAGUGGGGGGACUGGACCCAGACCAUGUCCUCUGUUCACCUAUCGAGCUUCACCUGGAGCAGGCAGCAAGGGUGACUGCCUGCCAUGCCCUCCCGGUUCACACUGUAACAGCACAGGUCCGAAACACUGCAUCUCAAACAACAGAAGAUGAAUGAUUAUAUAAGAUUACCUAAAAUUACUUCUACAAAUGUAAACAAGUCCUUUCCAUGUAUUCC
This 1908-nucleotide long non-coding RNA is filed under the name Sparus aurata (gilthead seabream). Its description in RNAcentral is "lncRNA (ENSSAUG00010016302.1)". The record is from RNAcentral. Lineage: Eukaryota; Metazoa; Chordata; Actinopteri; Spariformes; Sparidae.